RNAcentral lists this ribosomal RNA (1439 nucleotides) under uncultured Bordetella sp. RNAcentral's name for it is "partial 16S-23S ribosomal RNA intergenic spacer". It matches the Rfam family "Bacterial small subunit ribosomal RNA". The record is from RNAcentral. Lineage: Bacteria; Pseudomonadati; Pseudomonadota; Betaproteobacteria; Burkholderiales; Alcaligenaceae.
AGUUUGAUUAUGGCCAGAUUGAACGCUGCUGCGGGAUGCUUUACACAUGCAAGUCGAACGGCAGCACGGACUUCGGUCUGUAUGGUGGUGAACGGGUGAGUGGUCGUAUCGGAACGCCAUAGGGGGAUAACUACGCAGUGCGCUAAUACCGCAUACGCCCUUCGGGGGAAAGCGGGGACCUUGGCCUCGCACUAUUAGAGCGGCCGAUAUCGGAUUAGCUAGUUAGGUAACGGUCACCAAGGCGACGAUCCGUUGUUUGAGGACGACCCAGCCACACUGGACCGGAGACACGGCCCAGACUCCUACGGAGGCGCAGUGGGGAAUUUUUGGACAAUGGGGGAAACCCGAUCCAGCCAUCCUGCGAUGAAGGCCUUCGGGUUGUAAAGCACUUUUGGCAGGAAAGAAAACGGCACGAUAAUACCUGCGUGAAUCGAUUGUACCUGUAGAACAGCACCGGCUAACUACGUGCCAGCAGCCGCGGUAAUACGUAGUGCAAGCGUUAAUCGGAAUUACUGGGCGUAAAGUGCGCAGGCGGUCGGAAAGAAAGAUAGAAAUCCCAGAGCUUAACUUUGGAACUGCAUUUUUAACUACCGAGCUAGAGUGUGUCAGAGGGAGGUGGAAUUCGCGUAGCAGUGAAAUGCGUAGAUAUGCGGAGUAAAUUCCACCGAUGGCGAAGGCAGCCUCCUGGGAUAAACACUGACGCUCAUGCACGAAAGCGUGGGGAGCAAACAGGAUUAGAUACCCUGGUAGUCCACGCCCUCAACGAUGUUUAACUAGCUGUUGGGGCCUUCGGGGCCUUUGGUAGCGCAGCUAACGCGUGAAGUUGACCGCCUGGGGAGUACGGUCGCAAGAUUAAAACUCAAAGGAAUUGAUUUGGGACCCGCACAAGCGGUGGAUGAUGUGGAUUAACUGAUGCAACGCGAAAAACCUACCUACCCUUGACAUGUCUGGAAUCCCGAAGAGAUUUGGGAGUGCUCGCAAGAGAACCAACAGAAGUUGCAUGGCUGUCGUCAGUCGUUGAUGUUGGGUUAAGUCCCGCAACGAGCGCAACCCUUGUCAUUAGUUGCUACGAAAGGGCAAUUUCUUGAAUGAGAUUGCCGGUGACAAACCGGAGGGGGAUGACGCCGAACCUCGCGGGCCUUAUGGGUAGGGCUUCACAAUGCCAUAGCGAAGGGCUGGGACAGAGGGUCGCCAACCCGCGAGGGCGCCAAUCCCAGAAACCCGAUUUAGUCUUGAUCGGGCAGUUCUGUAACCGAUUGCGUGAAGUCGGAAUCGCUAGUAAUCGCGGAUCAGCAUGUCGCGGUGAAUACGUUCCGGCCUUGUACACACCGCCCGUCACACCAUGGGAGUGGGUUUGUACUAGAAGUAGUUAGCCUAACCGUAAGGAGGGCGAUUACCACGGUAGGAUUCAUGACUGGGGUGAAGUCGUAACAAGGUAG